GCGGGUGUAGCUCAGUUGGUUAGAGCGCUAGGUUGUGGUUCUGGAUGUCGUGAGUUCGAAUCUCAUCACUCGCCCCA
This 77-nucleotide transfer RNA is filed under the name Rhodospirillaceae bacterium. Its description in RNAcentral is "tRNA-His". It matches the Rfam family "tRNA". From Rfam's summary of the family: Transfer RNA (tRNA) molecules are approximately 80 nucleotides in length. Their secondary structure includes four short double-helical elements and three loops (D, anti-codon, and T loops). The record is from RNAcentral. Lineage: Bacteria; Pseudomonadati; Pseudomonadota; Alphaproteobacteria; Rhodospirillales; Rhodospirillaceae.